Molecule: non-coding RNA, 300 nt
Organism: Paramuricea clavata
Lineage: Eukaryota; Metazoa; Cnidaria; Anthozoa; Malacalcyonacea; Plexauridae
Source: the annotation of a GenBank genome assembly
GGGAUGAGCCGAUUAAUCGGUAAAUAAUCGGCAAAGCCGAUUAAUCGGCCGUUUUUUAAAUAAUCGGUAAUCGGCCGAUUAUUGCUUGAUAAUCGGCAAAUAAUCGGCCAUAAGACUUUUUCUGCAGCUGCCAAGCACAUGCUAAAAUACUGAAUUACAAGUGAAUAGAUUUUCACAUUUUGUUGCAAAACCUGUGUCUUUUGUCUCGAGGGAAGUGAAGCUGGGAACAUUUCCACUGAAAAACGCAGCAGAGUAGCUCCGCAUAGCUGACAAUAUCCUGUUUUUACACCAUAAUCUGCC